UGGGGAAUAUUGCACAAUGGGCGCAAGCCUGAUGCAGCGACGCCGCGUGGGGGAUGACGGCCUUCGGGUUGUAAACUCCUUUCGCUAGGGACGAAGCUUUUUGUGACGGUACCUAGAUAAGAAGCACCGGCUAACUACGUGCCAGCAGCCGCGGUAAUACGUAGGGUGCGAGCGUUGUCCGGAAUUACUGGGCGUAAAGGGCUCGUAGGUGGUUUGUCGCGUCGUCUGUGAAAUUCCGGGGCUUAACUCCGGGCGUGCAGGCGAUACGGGCAUAACUUGAGUACUGUAGGGGUAACUGGAAUUCCUGGUGUAGCGGUGAAAUGCGCAGAUAUCAGGAGGAACACCGAUGGCGAAGGCAGGUUACUGGGCAGUUACUGACGCUGAGGAGCAAAAGCAUGGGUAGCGAACAGG
This 411-nucleotide ribosomal RNA is filed under the name Actinomycetes bacterium. Its description in RNAcentral is "Actinobacteria bacterium partial 16S ribosomal RNA". It matches the Rfam family "Bacterial small subunit ribosomal RNA", at positions 355 to 776 of the family's 1533-position model. The record is from RNAcentral. Lineage: Bacteria; Bacillati; Actinomycetota; Actinomycetes.